AAAACUGUUUAAACUGGAGGCAGGAGAGGAAAGUUGAAUUCCUAGAUGUAGCGUUGAGAUGCGUAAGAUAUUUAGGAGGAAUAGCAGUGGCGAAGGCGACUUUCUGGACUACAACUGACCUGAGUCACGAAAGCGUGGGGAGCAAACAGGAUUAGAUACCAUGGUAGUACACGCCGUAGACGAUGAGUACUAGGUGUCGGGGGAAGACCUCGGUGCCGAAGUUAGCACAUUAAGUACUCCGCCUGGGGAGUACGCUCGCAAAGAGUAAAACUCAAAGGAAUUGACGGGGACCCGCACAAGCAGCGGAGCAUGUGGUUUAAUUCGAAGCAACGCGAAGAACCUUACCUAAGCUUGACAUACCAAUGACAGCCUUUUAAUCGAGGACUUUUACCUUCGGGUAGACAAUGGAUACAGGUGGUGCAUGGUUGUCGUCAGCUCGGGUCGAGAGAUGUUGGGUUAAGUCCCGCAACGAGCGCAAACCUUGUCGAUAGUUACCAGCAGUAAGAUGGGGACUCUAUCGAGACAGCUAAGGACAACUUAGAGGAAGGUGGGGAUGACGUCAAAUCAUCAUGCCCCUUAUGUUUAGGGCUACACACGUGCUACAAUGGUCAUUACAGAGAGAAGCGAAACUGCGAAGUCAAGCAAACCUCAAAAAGAUGAUCCAAGUUCGGAUUGUAGGCUGAAACUCGCCUACAUGAAGUUGGAGUUGCUAGUAAUCGCGUAUCAGAAUGUCGCGGUGAAUGCGUUCCCGGGUCUUGUACACACCGCCCGUCACACCAUGGGAGUUUGGGGGGCCCUAAGUCGGUUCUCACCGCAAGGAGAGAGCUGCCCAAGACAAAUCAAAUUGUCUUGGGAAGUCGUAACAAGGUAGCCGUAAUCUCUGGGAAGAAACCGCGCGUACCGAGUUCUUAAUUCAAUAAGCGGGUCUUUACCCGCCCU
Molecule: ribosomal RNA, 939 nt
Filed under: uncultured bacterium
Lineage: Bacteria
Description: bacterial SSU rRNA
Rfam family: Bacterial small subunit ribosomal RNA
Source: RNAcentral